Molecule: ribosomal RNA, 450 nt
Filed under: uncultured bacterium
Lineage: Bacteria
Description: partial 16S ribosomal RNA
Rfam family: Bacterial small subunit ribosomal RNA
Source: RNAcentral
CCUACGGGUGGCUGCAGUAGGGAAUAUUGGACAAUGGGUGCGAGCCUGAUCCAGCCAUGCCGCGUGCAGGAAGAAGGCGUUAUGCGUUGUAAACUGCUUUUGCCAGGGGAUAAAAUAACUGUGCGCAGUUGAUUGAAGGUACCUGGUGAAUAAGCCACGGCUAACUACGUGCCAGCAGCCGCGGUAAUACGUAGGUGGCACGCGUUUACCGGAUUUAUUGGGUUUGAAGGGGGCCCUGGAGGCCAUUUAUGAAAGAUCUCAGCUUAACUGAGAGGGUGCCAUUGAUACUGCGGGGCUUGAGUACAGAUGAGGUAGGCGGAAUUGACGGUGUAGCGGUGAAAUGCAUAGAUAUCGUCAAGAACACCGAUAGCGAAGGCAGCUUACCAAGCUGUAACUGACGCUGAGGCACGAAAGUGUGGGGAUCAAACAGGAUUAGAUACCCUUGUAGUC